RNAcentral lists this ribosomal RNA (460 nucleotides) under uncultured bacterium. Its description in RNAcentral is "partial 16S ribosomal RNA". It matches the Rfam family "Bacterial small subunit ribosomal RNA", at positions 338 to 795 of the family's 1533-position model. The record is from RNAcentral.
CCUACGUGAGGCAGCAGUGAGGAAUAUUGGUCAAUGGGCGCGAGCCUGAACCAGCCAAGUAGCGUGAAGGAUGACUGCCCUACGGGUUGUAAACUUCUUGUAUAAAGGAAUAAAGUGAGGCACGUGUGCCUUUUUGUAUGUACUUUAUGAAUAAGGAUCGGCUAAAUCUGUGCCAGCAGCCGCGGUAAUACGGAGGAUCCGAGCGUUAUCCGGAUUUAUUGGGUUUAAAGGGAGCGUAGAUGGGUUGUUAAGUCAGUUGUGAAAGUUUGCGGCUCAACCGUAAAAUUGCAAUUGAUACUGGCAGUCUUGAGUACAGUAGAGGUAGGCGGAAUGCGUGGUGUAGCGGUGAAAUGCUUAGAUAUCACGAAGAACUCCGAUUGCGAAGGCAGCUUACUAAACUGCCACUGACAUUGAUGCUCGAAAGUGUGGGUAUCAAACAGGAUUAGAUACCCCAGUAGUC